AUGAGACGUGCAUUGCACGUGCAAGCUUACUAUGCUCUCAAAAGGAAAACGUUUGGGGCCGGCAGCCCUGCCGAGCUUUUCGUCGACUCACGUGCCACGAAAGACCCAUCCCGUGGAGAUACGUGUACAUGGUGGGUUCCGCGUGACUAUUAUUAUUUUUCUUUCACCUCCAGCCGUCGCGGCUCUACUCCUCCACGGCCUCCCUCAUGUUGCUCGCAAGCUCUAGAAGCUCCCUCACUGACGGCGAAGUGCUCAUGUGCGACGGCGCCCAAUGUUGCCUCUCCUUCAUGGCCGGCGAACCCCUCUCCCAUCCUUCCUCCUCAAUUCGGAUCCCCGCUAUCUCCCCAUGCCCAUGGCCGCCUCCAAUCCUCGGGAUCUCAACAAUGGCCUCUUCCCAACUAUGGCUUCGAGUCCCCGAGGGCGAAGCUACGGGAACCGUCUAUCAGGGCGCUGCAACCGGAGCUGCAAGGCUGCAACUACGGGCACACGUUGGACGGCGAGGAUGAGGCGAUGCUGCUCAGAGGAAAAAACUAA
RNAcentral lists this ribosomal RNA (534 nucleotides) under Triticum aestivum (bread wheat). Its description in RNAcentral is "partial small subunit ribosomal RNA". The record is from RNAcentral. Lineage: Eukaryota; Viridiplantae; Streptophyta; Magnoliopsida; Poales; Poaceae.